UUUGGAGAGUUUGAUCCUGGCUCAGAACGAACGCUGGCGGCGUGCUUAACACAUGCAAGUCGUGCGAGAAAGGAGGGGGCAACCCUUCCGAGUAAAGCGGCGAACGGGUGAGUAACACGUGAGCAACCUGCCCAGAAGAGCGGGAUAACCUUGCGAAAGCGGGGCUAAUACCGCAUAAGACCACGUCUCGCAUGAGAUGGGGUCAAAGGUGGCCUCUCCUUGGAAGCUGCCGCUUU
Molecule: ribosomal RNA, 236 nt
Filed under: Candidatus Tectimicrobiota bacterium
Lineage: Bacteria; Pseudomonadati; Candidatus Tectimicrobiota
Description: partial 16S ribosomal RNA
Rfam family: Bacterial small subunit ribosomal RNA
Source: RNAcentral